Molecule: ribosomal RNA, 446 nt
Filed under: uncultured soil bacterium
Lineage: Bacteria
Description: bacterial SSU rRNA
Rfam family: Bacterial small subunit ribosomal RNA
Source: RNAcentral
AGAGCGAACGCUGGCGGCAGGCCUAACACAUGCAAGUCGAACGGACUCUUCGGGGUUAGUGGCGGACGGGUGAGUAACACGUGGGAACGUGCCUUUAGGUUCGGAAUAGCUCCUGGAAACGGGUGGUAAUGCCGAAUGUGCCCUUCGGGGGAAAGAUUUAUCGCCUUUAGAGCGGCCCGCGUCUGAUUAGCUAGUUGGUGAGGUAAAGGCUCACCAAGGCUACGAUCAGUAGCUGGUCUGAGAGGAUGACCAGCCACAUUGGGACUGAGACACGGCCCAAACUCCUACGGGAGGCAGCAGUGGGGAAUCUUGCGCAAUGGGCGAAAGCCUGACGCAGCCAUGCCGCGUGAAUGAUGAAGGUCUUAGGAUUGUAAAAUUCUUUCAGUAGGGACGAUAAUGACGUACCUACAGAAGAAGCCCCGGCUAACUUCGUGCCAGCAGCCGAC